AGAACGAACGCUGGCGGCAUGCCUAACACAUGCAAGUCGAACGCCUGUAGCAAUACAGGAGUGGCGCACGGGUGAGUAACGCGUGGGAACCUGCCCUGGAGUGGGGGAUAACCGAGGGAAACCUCGGCUAAUACCGCAUACGACCUGAGGGUGAAAGAUUUAUCGCUCUAGGAGGGGCCCGCGUCGGAUUAGCUAGUUGGUGAGGUAACGGCUCACCAAGGCGAUGAUCCGUAGCUGGUCUGAGAGGAUGAUCAGCCACACUGGGACUGAGACACGGCCCAGACUCCUACGGGAGGCAGCAGUGGGGAAUAUUGGACAAUGGGGGCAACCCUGAUCCAGCAAUGCCGCGUGAGUGAUGAAGGCCUUAGGGUUGUAAAGCUCUUUCGGCGGGACGAUGAUGACGGUACCCGCAGAAGAAGCCCCGGCUAACUUCGUGCCAGCAGCCGC
This 447-nucleotide ribosomal RNA is filed under the name uncultured bacterium. Its description in RNAcentral is "SSU rRNA". It matches the Rfam family "Bacterial small subunit ribosomal RNA", at positions 26 to 518 of the family's 1533-position model. The record is from RNAcentral.